RNAcentral lists this transfer RNA (69 nucleotides) under Coilia mystus (Osbeck's grenadier anchovy). RNAcentral describes it as "tRNA-Ala". It matches the Rfam family "tRNA". From Rfam's summary of the family: Transfer RNA (tRNA) molecules are approximately 80 nucleotides in length. RNAcentral also lists the same sequence under 4 other names. The record is from RNAcentral. Lineage: Eukaryota; Metazoa; Chordata; Actinopteri; Clupeiformes; Engraulidae.
AAGGCUUUAGCUUAAUAAAAGUGUCUGAGUUGCAUUCAGGUGAUGUGGGAUAAAAUCCUGCAAGUCUUA